This 402-nucleotide ribosomal RNA is filed under the name uncultured prokaryote. Its description in RNAcentral is "bacterial SSU rRNA". It matches the Rfam family "Bacterial small subunit ribosomal RNA", at positions 355 to 774 of the family's 1533-position model. The record is from RNAcentral.
UGGGGAAUCUUAGACAAUGGGCGCAAGCCUGAUCUAGCCAUGCCGCGUGAGCGAUGAAGGCCUUAGGGUUGUAAAGCUCUUUCAGUGGGGAAGAUAAUGACGGUACCCACAGAAGAAGCCCCGGCUAACUCCGUGCCAGCAGCCGCGGUAAUACGGAGGGGGCUAGCGUUGUUCGGAAUUACUGGGCGUAAAGCGCACGUAGGCGGAUCAGAAAGUCAGAGGUGAAAUCCCAGGGCUCAACCUUGGAACUGCCUUUGAAACUCCUGAUCUUGAGGUCGAGAGAGGUGAGUGGAAUUCCGAGUGUAGAGGUGAAAUUCGUAGAUAUUCGGAGGAACACCAGUGGCGAAGGCGGCUCACUGGCUCGAUACUGACGCUGAGGUGCGAAAGCGUGGGGAGCAAACA